This 495-nucleotide ribosomal RNA is filed under the name uncultured bacterium. RNAcentral describes it as "partial 16S ribosomal RNA". It matches the Rfam family "Bacterial small subunit ribosomal RNA", at positions 28 to 505 of the family's 1533-position model. The record is from RNAcentral.
GAUGAACGCUGGCGGCGUGCCUAAUACAUGCAAGUCGAGCGAACAGACGAGGAGCUUGCUCCUCUGACGUUAGCGGCGGACGGGUGAGUAACACGUGGAUAACCUACCUAUAAGACUGGGAUAACUUCGGGAAACCGGAGCUAAUACCGGAUAAUAUAUUGAACCGCAUGGUUCAAUAGUGAAAGACGGUUUUGCUGUCACUUAUAGAUGGAUCCGCGCCGCAUUAGCUAGUUGGUAAGGUAACGGCUUACCAAGGCGACGAUGCGUAGCCGACCUGAGAGGGUGAUCGGCCACACUGGAACUGAGACACGGUCCAGACUCCUACGGGAGGCAGCAGUAGGGAAUCUUCCGCAAUGGGCGAAAGCCUGACGGAGCAACGCCGCGUGAGUGAUGAAGGUCUUCGGAUCGUUAAACUCUGUUAUUAGGGAAGAACAAAUGUGUAAGUAACUAUGCACGUCUUGACGGUACCUAAUCAGAAAGCCACGGCUAACUACG